This 465-nucleotide ribosomal RNA is filed under the name uncultured bacterium. Its description in RNAcentral is "partial 16S ribosomal RNA". It matches the Rfam family "Bacterial small subunit ribosomal RNA", at positions 338 to 795 of the family's 1533-position model. The record is from RNAcentral.
CCUACGGGAGGCAGCAGUAGGGAAUCUUCCACAAUGGGCGAAAGCCUGAUGGAGCAACGCCGCGUGGGUGCAGAAGGUCUUCGGAUCGUAAAACCCUGUUGUUAGAGAAGAAAGUGCGUGAGAGUAACUGUUCACGUUUCGACGGUAUCUAACCAGAAAGCCACGGCUAACUAAGUGCCAGCAGCCGCGGGAAUACGUAGGUGGCAAGGUGUAUCCGGAUUUAUUGGGAGUAAGGGGAACGCAAGCGGUCUUUUAAGUCGGAUGUGAAAGCCUUCGGCUUAACAGUAGUAGUGCAUUGGAAACUGGGAGACUGGAGUGCAGAAGAGGAGAGUGGAACUCCAUGUGUAGCGGUGAAAUGCGUAGAUAUAUGGAAGAACACCAGUGGCGAAAGCGGCUCUCUGGUCUGUAACUGACGCUGAGGUUCGAAAGCGUGGGUAGCAAACAGGAUUAGAUACCCUGGUAGUC